GGUUAAGCGACUAAGCGUACACGGUGGAUGCCCUGGCAGUCAGAGGCGAUGAAGGACGUGCUAAUCUGCGAUAAGCGCCGGUAAGGUGAUAUGAACCGUUAUAACCGGCGAUUUCCGAAUGGGGAAACCCAGUGUGAUUCGUCACACUAUCAUUAACUGAAUCCAUAGGUUAAUGAGGCGAACCGGGGGAACUGAAACAUCUAAGUACCCCGAGGAAAAGAAAUCAACCGAGAUUCCCCCAGUAGCGGCGAGCGAACGGGGAGGAGCCCAGAGCCUGAAUCAGCAUGUGUGUUAGUGGAAGCGUCUGGAAAGGCGCGCGAUACAGGGUGACAGCCCCGUACACAAAAGCGCAUGUGCUGUGAGCUCGAUGAGUAGGGCGGGACACGUGGUAUCCUGUCUGAAUAUGGGGGGACCAUCCUCCAAGGCUAAAUACUCCUGACUGACCGAUAGUGAACCAGUACCGUGAGGGAAAGGCGAAAAGAACCCCGGCGAGGGGAGUGAAAAAGAACCUGAAACCGUGUACGUACAAGCAGUGGGAGCACAGGUUUACCUGUGUGACUGCGUACCUUUUGUAUAAUGGGUCAGCGACUUAUAUUCUGUAGCAAGGUUAACCGAAUAGGGGAGCCGGAGGGAAACCGAGUCUUAAUUGGGCGUUAAGUUGCAGGGUAUAGACCCGAAACCCGGUGAUCUAGCCAUGGGCAGGUUGAAGGUUGGGUAACACUAACUGGAGGACCGAACCGACUAAUGUUGAAAAAUUAGCGGAUGACCUGUGGCUGGGGGUGAAAGGCCAAUCAAACCGGGAGAUAGCUGGUUCUCCCCGAAAGCUAUUUAGGUAGCGCCUCGUGAAUUCAUCUCCGGGGGUAGAGCACUGUUUCGGCUAGGGGGUCAUCCCGACUUACCAACCCGAUGCAAACUGCGAAUACCGGAGAAUGUUAUCACGGGAGACACACGGCGGGUGCUAACGUCCGUCGUGAAGAGGGAAACAACCCAGACCGCCAGCUAAGGUCCCAAAGUCAUGGUUAAGUGGGAAACGAUGUGGGAAGGCCCAGACAGCCAGGAUGUUGGCUUAGAAGCAGCCAUCAUUUAAAGAAAGCGUAAUAGCUCACUGGUCGAGUCGGCCUGCGCGGAAGAUGUAACGGGGCUAAACCAUGCACCGAAGCUGCGGCAGCGAACGUAUCACUUAAAGCGAUUCAGCGGGUUACGAUUGACGGAGCGAAGCGACGUCAAAGCGUAUACAAAGUCGAGUCGGUUUAAGGAUACGUUCGUUGGGUAGGGGAGCGUUCUGUAAGCCUGUGAAGGUGGCCUGUGAGGGUUGCUGGAGGUAUCAGAAGUGCGAAUGCUGACAUAAGUAACGAUAAAGCGGGUGAAAAGCCCGCUCGCCGGAAGACCAAGGGUUCCUGUCCAACGUUAAUCGGGGCAGGGUGAGUCGACCCCUAAGGCGAGGCCGAAAGGCGUAGUCGAUGGGAAACGGGUUAAUAUUCCCGUACUUGGUGUUACUGCGAAGGGGGGACGGAGAAGGCUAUGUUGGCCGGGCGACGGUUGUCCCGGUUUAAGCGUGUAGGUGUGUGUUCCAGGUAAAUCCGGUUCACUUUAACACUGAGGCGUGACGACGAGGCACUACGGUGCUGAAGCAACAAAUGCCCUGCUUCCAGGAAAAGCCUCUAAGCAUCAGGUAACAUCAAAUCGUACCCCAAACCGACACAGGUGGUCAGGUAGAGAAUACCAAGGCGCUUGAGAGAACUCGGGUGAAGGAACUAGGCAAAAUGGUGCCGUAACUUCGGGAGAAGGCACGCUGACACGUAGGUGAAGUGAUUUACUCAUGGAGCUGAAGUCAGUCGAAGAUACCAGCUGGCUGCAACUGUUUAUUAAAAACACAGCACUGUGCAAACACGAAAGUGGACGUAUACGGUGUGACGCCUGCCCGGUGCCGGAAGGUUAAUUGAUGGGGUCAGCGCAAGCGAAGCUCCUGAUCGAAGCCCCGGUAAACGGCGGCCGUAACUAUAACGGUCCUAAGGUAGCGAAAUUCCUUGUCGGGUAAGUUCCGACCUGCACGAAUGGCGUAAUGAUGGCCAGGCUGUCUCCACCCGAGACUCAGUGAAAUUGAACUCGCUGUGAAGAUGCAGUGUACCCGCGGCAAGACGGAAAGACCCCGUGAACCUUUACUAUAGCUUGACACUGAACAUUGAGCCUUGAUGUGUAGGAUAGGUGGGAGGCUUUGAAGUGUGGACGCCAGUCUGCAUGGAGCCGACCUUGAAAUACCACCCUUUAAUGUUUGAUGUUCUAACGUGGACCCGUAAUCCGGGUUGCGGACAGUGUCUGGUGGGUAGUUUGACUGGGGCGGUCUCCUCCUAAAGAGUAACGGAGGAGCACGAAGGUUGGCUAAUCCUGGUCGGACAUCAGGAGGUUAGUGCAAUGGCAUAAGCCAGCUUGACUGCGAGCGUGACGGCGCGAGCAGGUGCGAAAGCAGGUCAUAGUGAUCCGGUGGUUCUGAAUGGAAGGGCCAUCGCUCAACGGAUAAAAGGUACUCCGGGGAUAACAGGCUGAUACCGCCCAAGAGUUCAUAUCGACGGCGGUGUUUGGCACCUCGAUGUCGGCUCAUCACAUCCUGGGGCUGAAGUAGGUCCCAAGGGUAUGGCUGUUCGCCAUUUAAAGUGGUACGCGAGCUGGGUUUAGAACGUCGUGAGACAGUUCGGUCCCUAUCUGCCGUGGGCGCUGGAGAACUGAGGGGGGCUGCUCCUAGUACGAGAGGACCGGAGUGGACGCAUCACUGGUGUUCGGGUUGUCAUGCCAAUGGCACUGCCCGGUAGCUAAAUGCGGAAGAGAUAAGUGCUGAAAGCAUCUAAGCACGAAACUUGCCCCGAGAUGAGUUCUCCCUGAGACUUUAAGUCUCCUGAAGGAACGUUGAAGACGACGACGUUGAUAGGCCGGGUGUGUAAGCGCAGCGAUGCGUUGAGCUAACCGGUACUAAUGAACCGUGAGGCUUAACCUU
This 2989-nucleotide ribosomal RNA is filed under the name Salmonella enterica subsp. enterica serovar Kottbus. RNAcentral's name for it is "23S ribosomal RNA". It matches the Rfam family "Bacterial large subunit ribosomal RNA". Lineage: Bacteria; Pseudomonadati; Pseudomonadota; Gammaproteobacteria; Enterobacterales; Enterobacteriaceae. The record is from RNAcentral.